Molecule: ribosomal RNA, 534 nt
Filed under: Klebsiella pneumoniae
Lineage: Bacteria; Pseudomonadati; Pseudomonadota; Gammaproteobacteria; Enterobacterales; Enterobacteriaceae
Description: bacterial SSU rRNA
Rfam family: Bacterial small subunit ribosomal RNA
Source: RNAcentral
ACUGGCAGGCUAGAGUCUUGUAGAGGGGGGUAGAAUUCCAGGUGUAGCGGUGAAAUGCGUAGAGAUCUGGAGGAAUACCGGUGGCGAAGGCGGCCCCCUGGACAAAGACUGACGCUCAGGUGCGAAAGCGUGGGGAGCAAACAGGAUUAGAUACCCUGGUAGUCCACGCCGUAAACGAUGUCGAUUUGGAGGUUGUGCCCUUGAGGCGUGGCUUCCGGAGCUAACGCGUUAAAUCGACCGCCUGGGGAGUACGGCCGCAAGGUUAAAACUCAAAUGAAUUGACGGGGGCCCGCACAAGCGGUGGAGCAUGUGGUUUAAUUCGAUGCAACGCGAAGAACCUUACCUGGUCUUGACAUCCACAGAACUUUCCAGAGAUGGAUUGGUGCCUUCGGGAACUGUGAGACAGGUGCUGCAUGGCUGUCGUCAGCUCGUGUUGUGAAAUGUUGGGUUAAGUCCCGCAACGAGCGCAACCCUUAUCCUUUGUUGCCAGCGGUUAGGCCGGGAACUCAAAGGAGACUGCCAGUGAUAAACUGG